AGAGACUUUUAUAACAACAAGGGUGAAAUCUGUACUCAAGUUAAAUUUCUUGUUUAAAGCAUCUUUUAGGUAGUUAAACGACUAGGAUUAGAUACCCUAUUAGUCUAUCCUUAAUUAACCUGGGUAGUAAUAUUAAAACCUAAAGAAUUUGGCGGUUUCUAAACUUACUAGAGGAACCUGUCCCGUAAACGACAAUCCACGAAAAAAUCAACCCAAACUUGUUAUCCAGCUUAUAUACCGUCGUUUAGGGGAUUAAACAAAUAGAUCUCCUUAAGAGCUUAGGCUAAUAAAUCAGAUCAAGGUGUAGCUUAUGUUUGGGUGAGGAUGGGUUACAAUGAAAAUUCAUACGGAACCUUUAUAUUACUGUAAAGGAGAAGGUGGAUUUAGAAGUAAGACCUAACACACUGAAGAAAGCCCUGAGAAAUGUACACAUCGCCCGUCGCUCUCUUGUCCGAAGAGAUAAGUCGUAACAAAGUAGGUGUAUCGGAAGGUUCAUCUUGAAAGA
This 505-nucleotide ribosomal RNA is filed under the name Artemia sinica. Its description in RNAcentral is "partial 12S ribosomal RNA". Lineage: Eukaryota; Metazoa; Arthropoda; Branchiopoda; Anostraca; Artemiidae. The record is from RNAcentral.